UAUUCGAUUGCUAAAAGGCAAAAUAAAGACCUGUCCAUUUAAGUGACAAAUCGUGUGAUAUCUUCACUUGAUGAUUACAUUCACAUUCCCUAUAAAUAAAAAAUAGAAAAUACCAUGAAAAGAAAAAAAUCGAGUGGUCCAUUUUUAAGCUCACCAAUUUCUUAGCACUUUCGCGGGCAUCUAACCCUUUCAAUCCAACAAAUCAAAAGCAACCACGUGGUCAAAAGCUUCUAAACUUUAUGCCACGUAGGAUAAUCAUCAAUCAUAAAAGUAGCUUCCCUCACACGAUUGUAUAAGUCAAAAAAAAAAAAAAAAAAGAGCCUUCCGGAAGAAGCCUUUUCCAUUUGACAGCCCACAAAAGCCUCCCUCUUUUUAUCUCCUUAUAUAGAAAGUACAAUACAGCGCCAUUAUUAUUAGAUUCUUAUAUAGAAAGUUUUGUAUUUCCUCAGUCCUCAUAGCCAAAGUAGAGAGAAAGAAGUGUCUAGUCUUCUGGUUGUAGAACGUUCGGUCGUUAACUUUUUGCUGCUCACAUUUCUGUUUAUAGUUGCGGCUAUUAUUAUAGUCAACGAGAUUGAAACUUCCUCUUUUUUAGAAAGCCCUAGCUACAUUAUUGUCACGAGUCUGUUUAUAGUUGUGACUGUUAUUAAAUAGUCAACGAGAUUAAAACUUCCUCGUUUCUCAUAAAGCCCAACUCUUCACCAGCACCGGUAGGUAUCUACCUACGUCGUUGUACGAAAUGGUGAAGAGUGGUAAUUAUGAAGUGGUGGAAGAGGAAGGAUGCAAGACACCAAGGCAUGAUAAAUGUAGAAUUAUGGUGAAUUCAUUGUGCCCACCACCAGCGCCAAGAAAGAAAAGAAUUUAUGUGAAACAGCAGAGUUCUCCACCUAAGGAAGGGUAUUUUCAGCCACCUGAUCUUGAGAUUUUAUUUGCUAUUGUGCCAAGGAGGGAGACUUAUGUUUGAAUAUUAUUGCUUUUUAAUCAAAAAGAAAAGGAAA
Lycium ferocissimum is the source of this 995-nucleotide long non-coding RNA. RefSeq lists it as uncharacterized. The transcript has 2 exons. The record is from RefSeq and is a predicted model, not a curated record. Lineage: Eukaryota; Viridiplantae; Streptophyta; Magnoliopsida; Solanales; Solanaceae.